This is a long non-coding RNA of Scomber japonicus (chub mackerel), 774 nucleotides long. RefSeq lists it as uncharacterized. The transcript is spliced from 2 exons. Lineage: Eukaryota; Metazoa; Chordata; Actinopteri; Scombriformes; Scombridae. The record is from RefSeq and is a predicted model, not a curated record.
CAGCUGGUCAGAGCAGGCUUCCCUGGUGGGCUGUAGUCUACAGACAGUCAAAAAAGAAAGAGAAAGCACACAGUAAAAAGGAUGUAUUAUUUAUAUACAAAAAAAGGAGACAACCUACCAACCAAUGAGACACCUCUAAGAUGUCUUACCUCGUUGCCAGAGAUUUAAGAAGAUACUGUGUUUUCAAGCACUUACGUGUUCCCCUAGCAUGCAGCGUGAAGACUAGCAACAACAGCAGGAUUGCUUCCAAGACUUUCUUCAUCAUGGCACCACAAAGCCUUUACUGUUAGAGAGAGAGAAAAAAACAAACAAUGAAAGGUGAGGAUGGGAAACUGCCUGACCAUGACACAUGACAAGAACUGUAAUGUUUGAUCCUAUCCACCAAAAUAGCAGAACUGCUUUGUCUUGUAUUGAGUGACAACAUGCUUGCAUGAUGGAAAGGAAAAACAUGAAGGAUGACGCCUGCUGUACAGUAGCUGGGAUGUUUUGUUUCAUUAUUCUAUCACACAGUGUUUGAGAGUAAAGAUAUACAUGCAAUACUAAAAAUGUAUUUAAAAGGUAGAGUCAACAAUUCCAAAUUACACAUUUUUGUCAAAUUCCGCUAAUAUUUCCUCACAGUUCACCAGUUGUCUAUUUUGUGUGUGCGCUGAAAAAACAUCAGGUGUCCAUACACAGCAGUGACUCUGUACAUGGGUAUGUAAACACGGUGGUUCGAAGCAACCUACACAACAACUUUUUAACCGUAUUCGUGAAUCAAUAAAUACAAACACAUUG